ACAGAGGGUGCGAGCGUUAAUCGGAUUUACUGGGCGUAAAGCGUACGUAGGCGGCUUAUUAAGUCGGAUGUGAAAUCCCUGAGCUUAACUCAGGAAUUGCAUUUGAUACUGGUGAGCUAGAGUAUGGGAGAGGAUGGUAGAAUUCCAGGUGUAGCGGUGAAAUGCGUAGAAAUGUGGAGGAAUACCGAUGGCGAAGGCAGCUAACUGGCCUAAUACUGACGCUGAGGUACGAAAGCUUGGGGAGCAAACAG
RNAcentral lists this ribosomal RNA (251 nucleotides) under uncultured prokaryote. Its description in RNAcentral is "partial 16S rRNA". It matches the Rfam family "Bacterial small subunit ribosomal RNA", at positions 525 to 775 of the family's 1533-position model. The record is from RNAcentral.